Long non-coding RNA from Helianthus annuus (common sunflower), 289 nucleotides. RefSeq lists it as uncharacterized. The transcript is spliced from 3 exons. The record is from RefSeq and is a predicted model, not a curated record. Lineage: Eukaryota; Viridiplantae; Streptophyta; Magnoliopsida; Asterales; Asteraceae.
GAUCGUGAGAAGCCAGGAGGGGACUCCUUCCCUCACAAAACCCUAAAUCACUAAAUUCCCUCAAUUGAAAGCUAGAUUAUUGAAGAAUCGAAUGCAUGACCUAAGAAUCUUGAUUAUCUAAGUGUUCUUGACCUCAAGCACAAAGAAGGAAGAAGGCGCAAGUCACUCAAAGGCACAAGCAUCCCAAGAUCGCGGUAAAUCCCUUGCUUGAUUGCGGCGCACCCGGACCGAACACACACACGUUAUGUCGACCUUAUGCGCUUCCGGUCCAAGUUGUUGUUUGAUGGGU